GAUUAAGCAAAGAAGAGCGCAGGGUGGAUGCCUUGGCACUAAGAGCCGAAGAAAGACGUGAUAAGCUGCGAAAAGCUGCGGGGAGAUGCAAAUAAUCCUUGAUCCGCAGAUGUCUGAAUGGGGAAACCCGGUACGAAGAACUCGUAUCAUCCAUACGCCAAUCCAUAACGUAUGGAGGGGAACCCGGUGAACUGAAACAUCUAAGUAGCCGGAGGAAGAGAAAGAAACAUCGAUUUUGUUAGUAGCGGCGAGCGAAAGCGAAAGAGGCCAAACCGGAGUGCGUGCACUCCGGGGUUCGGACCGCAUUUAAGAUUCAGUGAUUCUAGCAGAAAGGUUUGGGAAAGCCUGCCGGAGAGGGUGAAAGCCCCGUAAGCGAAAGGAGAGCUGACUGAGCGGAAUCCAGAGUACAUCGAGACACGAGAAACCUUGAUGGAAAGAGCGGGGACCACCCCGUAAGCCUAAAUACUACUUAGUGACCGAUAGCGCAUAGUACUGUGAAGGAAAGGUGAAAAGGACCCCGGGAGGGGAGUGAAAGAGAACCUGAAACCCUGUGUUUACAAGCUGUGGAAGUUCUUUAAAUGAACAACCGCGUACUUUUUGUAGAACGGUCCGGCGAGUUGCGGAUACUGGCAAGGUUAAGCACUUAAGGUGCGGAGCCGAAGGGAUACCAAGUCUUAACAGGGCGUAAAGUCAGUAUACGCAGACCCGAAACCGGGUGAUCUAUCCAUGUCCAGGUUGAAGUUGUCGUAAAAGACAAUGGAGGACCGAAGCCACAUCCGUUGAAAAGGGUGGGCAUGAGGUGUGGAUAGGGGAGAAAUUCCAAUCGAACCCGGAGAUAGCUGGUUCUCCUCGAAAUAGCUUUAGGGCUAGCCUCGAUUUAGUCUUAUGGAGGUAGAGCACUGAAUUUCCGCGGGGGCGUCAAAGCUUACCAAAGAAUAUCAAACUCCGAAUGCCAUGUAGAUGAUGAUCGGGAGUCAGACUGCACGAGAUAAGUUGGGCAGUCAAAAGGGAAAGAGCCCAGACCACCGGCUAAGGUCCCAAAGUGCGUGUUAAGUGGAAAAGGAUGUGGGAAUUCGAAGACAACUAGGAUGUUGGCUCAGAAGCAGCCAUACAUUCAAAGAGUGCGUAACAGCUCACUAGUCGAGAGUUCCUGCGCCGAAAAUGUCCGGGGCUGAAACACGACACCGAAGCCGUGGACUCGCAAUGCGAGUGGUAGAGGAGCAUUCUUAAAACCGACGAAGCUGUACCGGAAGGAGCAGUGGAGGGAUAAGAAGAGAGAAUGCCGGAAUGAGUAGCGAGAGAAAGGUGGGAAUCCUUUCGGCCGAAUAUCUAAGGUUUCCAGAGUAAAGCUGAUCUGCUCUGGGUAAGUCGGGGCCUAAGCACAGGUCGCAAGACGUAAGCGAUGGAUAACAGGUUUAGAUUCCUGUACCACGCAUUAUCAGAACUGUAGGGACGCAUGUGGAAAGCACG
RNAcentral lists this ribosomal RNA (1470 nucleotides) under Agathobacter rectalis. RNAcentral describes it as "partial 23S ribosomal RNA". It matches the Rfam family "Bacterial large subunit ribosomal RNA", at positions 1 to 1489 of the family's 2925-position model. The record is from RNAcentral. Lineage: Bacteria; Bacillati; Bacillota; Clostridia; Lachnospirales; Lachnospiraceae.